UACGUAGGGACCAAGCGUUGUUCGGAUUUACUGGGCGUAAAGCGUAUGCAGGCGGAUACUUAAGUAGGAAGUGAAAGGUGGGAGCUCAACUCCCACAUUGCUCCCUAUACUGGGUGUCUUGAGUGGCGGAGAGGGAGAUGGAACGACACGUGUAGCGGUGAAAUGCGUUGAUAUGUGUCGGAACACCAAUGGCGAAAGCAAUCUCCUGGACGCAAACUGACGCUGAGAUACGAAAGCCAAGGUAGCAAACAGG
This 253-nucleotide ribosomal RNA is filed under the name uncultured bacterium. RNAcentral's name for it is "partial 16S ribosomal RNA". It matches the Rfam family "Bacterial small subunit ribosomal RNA", at positions 524 to 776 of the family's 1533-position model. The record is from RNAcentral.